RNAcentral lists this ribosomal RNA (200 nucleotides) under uncultured bacterium. RNAcentral describes it as "partial 16S ribosomal RNA". It matches the Rfam family "Bacterial small subunit ribosomal RNA", at positions 524 to 723 of the family's 1533-position model. The record is from RNAcentral.
UACAGAGGGUGCGAGCGUUAAUCGGAAUUACUGGGCGUAAAGCGUGCGUAGACGGCUAUCUAAGUCGGGUGUGAAAGCCCCGGGCUCAACCUGGGAAUUGCAUUCGAGACUGAAUAGCUAGGGUGCGGUAGAGGGAAGCGGAAUUUCCGGUGUAGCGGUGAAAUGCGUAGAUAUCGGAAGGAACAUCAGUGGCGAAAGCG